CAAAGGAAUUGACGGGUCCCGCACAAGCAGCGGAGCGUGUGGUUUAAUUCGAUGCUACACGAAGAACCUUACCUGGGUUUGACAUAGAGGUAGUAGGGAAGCGAAAGCGGACCGACCUUCGGGGAGCCUCUACAGGUGUUGCAUGGCUGUCGUCAGCUCGUGUCGUGAGAUGUUCGGUUAAGUCCGCUAACGAGCGCAACCCUCGCUGUGUGUUACAAGUGUCACACGGUACUGCCGAUAUUAAGUCGGAGGAAGGUGGGGAUGACGUCAAGUCAGCAUGACCUUUAUAUCCAGGGCUACACACACGCUACAAUGGCCAGUACAAUGGGUUGCCAAGCCGCGAGGCGGAGCCAAUCCUAAAAAGCUGGCCUCAGUUCAGAUUGCAGUCUGCAACUCGACUGCAUGAAGUUGGAGUUGCUAGUAACCGCAGGUCAGCAACGCUGCGGUGAAUACGUUCCCGGGCCUU
Molecule: ribosomal RNA, 466 nt
Filed under: uncultured Anaerolineaceae bacterium
Lineage: Bacteria; Bacillati; Chloroflexota; Anaerolineae; Anaerolineales; Anaerolineaceae
Description: bacterial SSU rRNA
Rfam family: Bacterial small subunit ribosomal RNA
Source: RNAcentral